Molecule: ribosomal RNA, 253 nt
Filed under: uncultured bacterium
Lineage: Bacteria
Description: partial 16S ribosomal RNA
Rfam family: Bacterial small subunit ribosomal RNA
Source: RNAcentral
UACGUAGGCAGCGAGCGUUGUUCGGAGUUACUGGGCGUAAAGGGUGUGUAGGCGGUUUUCUAAGUUUGGUGUGAAAUCUCCCGGCUCAACCGGGAGGGUGCGCCGAAAACUGGGAGACUAGAGUGCGGGAUGGGAGAGUAGAAUUCCUGGUGUAGCGGUGAAAUGCGUAGAUAUCAGGAGGAACACCGGUGGCGAAGGCGGGUCUCUGGGCCGUUACUGACGCUGAGGAGCGAAAGCGUGGGGAGCGAACAGG